Molecule: ribosomal RNA, 497 nt
Filed under: uncultured bacterium
Lineage: Bacteria
Description: partial 16S ribosomal RNA
Rfam family: Bacterial small subunit ribosomal RNA
Source: RNAcentral
GAUGAACGCUGGCGGCGUGCCUAAUACAUGCAAGUCGAGCGAACGAACGAGAAGCUUGCUUCUCUGAUGUUAGCGGCGGACGGGUGAGUAACACGUGGAUAACCCACCUAUAAGACUGGGAUAACUUCGGGAAACCGUAGCUAAUACCGGAUAAUAUUUUGAACCGCAUGGUUCAAAAGUGAAAGACGGUCUUGCUGUCACUUAUAGAUGGAUCCGCGCUGCAUUAGCUAGUUGGUAAGGUAACGGCUUACCAAGGCAACGAUGCAUAGCCGACCUGAGAGGGUGAUCGGCCACACUGGAACUGAGACACGGUCCAGACUCCUACGGGAGGCAGCAGUAGGGAAUCUUCCGCAAUGGGCGAAAGCCUGACGGAGCAACGCCGCGUGAGUGAUGAAGGUCUUCGGAUCGUAAAACUCUGUUAUUAGGGAAGAACAUAUGUGUAAGUAACUGUGCACAUCUUGACGGUACCUAAUCAGAAAGCCACGGCUAACUACGUG